UCUCGGCAAAUUAUCCUCAUAAGUUCGACAAGAAGAGGAACCAUGAAUUUUUAGUAAAUUAAUAACUCCUAUUAAUUUAUUUAUAUGGUGGCACAAAAUCGGAAGCCCCGACUGUUUACUAAAAACACAACUAUCUGCAAUUAUGAAAAUAAUAGUAUAGGUAGUGAGAUUUGCCCAAUGCCAUAUUAAUAAGUAAUAAUAAUGGGUAACUGUUUCUUUACAAAAAAUUGGUUAAUAGCGGUCUUAACUAUGAGGAUCCAAAGGUAGCAAAAUAAAUUGGCCAUUAAAUGUGGUCCAGUAUCAAUAAUUUAACGAUGGCUUCACUGUCUCUACAACUUGCUCAGUGAAAUUGAAUUACCCGUGCAGAUGCGGGUUACCUCAAAGAGGACGGGAAGACCCUAUGCAGCUUCUACUGA
RNAcentral lists this ribosomal RNA (416 nucleotides) under Tubosaeta aff. heterosetosa KS707. Its description in RNAcentral is "LSU rRNA". It matches the Rfam family "Bacterial large subunit ribosomal RNA", at positions 1712 to 2107 of the family's 2925-position model. The record is from RNAcentral. Lineage: Eukaryota; Fungi; Basidiomycota; Agaricomycetes; Boletales; Boletaceae.